CAGUAGCCGCGGUAAUACGUAGGUGGCAAGCGUUGUCCGGAAUUAUUGGGCGUAAAGCGCGCGCAGGUGGUUUAAUAAGUCUGAUGUGAAAGCCCACGGCUCAACCGUGGAGGGUCAUUGGAAACUGUUAAACUUGAGUGCAGGAGAGAAAAGUGGAAUUCCUAGUGUAGCGGUGAAAUGCGUAGAGAUUAGGAGGAACACCAGUGGCGAAGGCGGCUUUUUGGCCUGUAACUGACACUGAGGCGCGAAAGCGUGGGGAGCAAACAGGAUUAGAUACCCCGGUAGUCCCUGUCUCUUAUAC
This 301-nucleotide ribosomal RNA is filed under the name uncultured bacterium. RNAcentral's name for it is "partial 16S ribosomal RNA". It matches the Rfam family "Bacterial small subunit ribosomal RNA", at positions 509 to 807 of the family's 1533-position model. The record is from RNAcentral.